GAGCAUAUCAAUAAGCGGAGGAAAAGAAACCAACAGGGAUUGCCCCAGUAACGGCGAGUGAAGCGGCAACAGCUCAAAUUUGAAAUCUGGCCCUCGGGUCCGAGUUGUAAUUUGUAGAGGAUGCUUUUGGUGAGGUGCCUUCCGAGUUCCCUGGAACGGGACGCCAUAGAGGGUGAGAGCCCCGUCUGGUUGGACACCGAGCCUCUGUAAAGCUCCUUCGACGAGUCGAGUAGUUUGGGAAUGCUGCUCUAAAUGGGAGGUAUAUGUCUUCUAAAGCUAAAUACCGGCCAGAGACCGAUAGCGCACAAGUAGAGUGAUCGAAAGAUGAAAAGCACUUUGAAAAGAGGGUUAAAUAGUACGUGAAAUUGUUGAAAGGGAAGCGCUUGUGACCAGACUUGAGCCCGGUUAAUCAUCCAGCCUUCUGGCUGGUGCACUUGGCCGGCUCAGGCCAGCAUCAGUUCGGCGCGGGGGAUAAAGGCUUCGGGAAUGUGGCUCCUCCGGGAGUGUUAUAGCCCGUUGUGUAAUACCCUGUACUGGACUGAGGUUCGCGCAUCUGCAAGGAUGCUGGCGUAAUGGUCAUCAGCGACCCGUCUUGAAACACGGACCAAGGAGUCGUCCUCGUAUGCGAGUGUUCGGGUGUCAAACCCCUACGCGUAAUGAAAGUGAACGCAGGUGAGAGCUUCGGCGCAUCAUCGACCGAUCCUGAUGUUCUCGGACGGAUUUGAGUAAGAGCAUACGGGGCCGGACCCGAAAGAAGGUGAACUAUGCCUGUAUAGGGUGAAGCCAGAGGAAACUCUGGUGGAGGCUCGCAGCGGUUCUGACGUGCAAAUCGAUCGUCAAAUAUGGGCAUGGGGGCGAAAGACUAAUCGAACCUUCUAGUAGCUGGUUUCCGCA
Molecule: ribosomal RNA, 894 nt
Filed under: Cosmospora stilbosporae
Lineage: Eukaryota; Fungi; Ascomycota; Sordariomycetes; Hypocreales; Nectriaceae
Description: LSU rRNA
Rfam family: Eukaryotic large subunit ribosomal RNA
Source: RNAcentral